AAAAUGUCACCUGAUGUUAGUUGUCCCUCACUGAUUCAAGUAAUUUCCAUUAUUCAGGUGGACCUGGCUGUUGGUGGAGAUCCCUAGACUGCAUGGGGCCAUGGGCAUGAUCUGGAGACACAGUAGGUCAUCCUCAGAAUUUACACUCUCUCUCCUUUUGUGCCCCCAUGGACCAAGUUAAGAAGGUGUAGGCUUCAAAUCUGAAGAUUGGUCACCACAAAAUUCAAAGAGGCAAGGUCUUUGUUGCUCAGGAUGGAGUGUAGUGGUGCCAUAGCUCACUGUAACCUUGAAUUUCUGGGCUACUGGCAUACACCACCAUGCUUGGAUUCAGGCCACAACACCCCUGAGUUUACCGGUUUUGGUCUCUUCCUUGUGACCUUCGGCUCCAGGAUGCAGCACAGCUCCUCACUGCACUAUUUAUCAGAAUGUUGCUCUGCAUGCUUGAAAGUUUCCCCAAACAGAGGUACAUAAAAACAAACAGAGGCAAAACACAAAUCCCAUCAGCCCUG
Molecule: long non-coding RNA, 509 nt
Filed under: Pan troglodytes (chimpanzee)
Lineage: Eukaryota; Metazoa; Chordata; Mammalia; Primates; Hominidae
Description: lincRNA
Source: RNAcentral